RNAcentral lists this non-coding RNA (26 nucleotides) under Drosophila melanogaster (fruit fly). The record is from RNAcentral. Lineage: Eukaryota; Metazoa; Arthropoda; Insecta; Diptera; Drosophilidae.
CACAUUCUUCUACCUCAUUUAUCCAC